CGCGGAGAGGCGCGGGACGCGGGCUCGUGCGGAGAGACACCCUGACGUCAGGGGCGAGCGAUACGCACUCUUAAAGGGGACGCGAGAAGCCCCGCCCCGGGCGCGGGGUUGGUGCGGCAGGUGCCGGGGCACGCGCUACCUGGGUACCGGCACCUGGCGCCGCCGCACCCGUGGGUCGGCUGCCUGCUUAAGAGGACCAAGGGGGUCCUCCCGCCCCGGGAGUGUCCUCCUGCCCCCGCAGACUGCGGCCCGGUGGCUGCAGGUUGGCAGCCCAGGCACCGGCACGACUCAGGUGACUUGCUCGGCUUCCAGGUAGCCUCAGAGGCGCUGCCUAAGCCAGCCCGCCUGCCCUUUGAGCCUGGCCUCUUUGCAGCCUGGAAAGGAGGAGUGGCAUUCUCUCUCGGGACUGAGAAGCACAUAGAGAAAAACUUUUGGUCCCCAUGUGGGGACCAAAAGUUAUAAGGAGAAGAAGCCAGAGUGACAGAAGCCAAGAUGAGAGACAUUGCCAAGAAUGAGGAAGGAGACAGCAUGGCAGAGUGGGAGUACUAGGAAUGCCUUGCAUCACCUCUACAAACCCUGCUGCCUGGGAGGAACCACAGGCCCCACUCCCACCCUGCCAGCCAGGCUGCUUGGGCACGGGGUGAACAGCGGAUACAAGGGAAUCCUGUCCACCCGCUGAUCUACCAAUCAUAGUUCUUGAUAAUGUGAGUUGAAACUCAUAACGGCAGAAUCAAGCAGAUAGUGGUCGAUCACAGAGCAACAAGAGCACGUGGACUCCUGACUGAGGCUGCAAAGGGAAGCAGACAAAAGGGGCAAAUCUCCAGCGUGCUAGUCGUUACUGAUGUUCAGGUACCUUCCACAUACAUGGUAGAGUUGCACCUGCCAAACCCCUCGUGGUUAAGUGGAGCACUGUGACAAGUUUUAACCAGUGGGUUAGGAAACUAAGUGACUGUCACCUCUUGGCAGAGAAUUUAACUGUUGGAAUGAGAUGCUACAAAGCCCUUUCUCCUCUCCAGCAGUAUUUUAGGUCGCUGUUGUCUGUCAAACAGAAUCCAGAGUGAGGAUGAAGCAGGGUAAAGUCCCCAGUUAAUGUUGAAAGACAUUUAGCAUUUGUGAGAAAUAAACCUGAGUGAUUUUAA
This is a long non-coding RNA of Orcinus orca (killer whale), 1139 nucleotides long. RefSeq lists it as uncharacterized. The record is from RefSeq and is a predicted model, not a curated record. The transcript has 2 exons. Lineage: Eukaryota; Metazoa; Chordata; Mammalia; Artiodactyla; Delphinidae.